Non-coding RNA from Ostrea edulis (European flat oyster), 72 nucleotides. Lineage: Eukaryota; Metazoa; Mollusca; Bivalvia; Ostreida; Ostreidae. The record is from the annotation of a RefSeq genome assembly.
GCCGUGGUGGCCUAGUGGUUAGAGCGUUCACCCCGCAUGUGAAAGGCCAGGGUUCGAAUCCCGGCCUUGACA